This 274-nucleotide ribosomal RNA is filed under the name uncultured bacterium. RNAcentral describes it as "partial 16S ribosomal RNA". It matches the Rfam family "Bacterial small subunit ribosomal RNA", at positions 523 to 796 of the family's 1533-position model. The record is from RNAcentral.
AUACGGAGGGUGCGAGCGUUAAUCGGAAUUACUGGGCGUAAAGGGUCCGUAGGUGGUCUGCUUAGUCUGAUGUGAAAGCCCCGGGCUUAACCUGGGAAUGGCAUUGGAUACUGGCGGACUAGAGUCUGGUAGAGGGUGGUGGAAUUCCCGGUGUAGCGGUGAAAUGAGCAGAUAUCGGGAGGAACACCAGUGGCGAAGGCGGCCACCUGGACCAAGACUGACGCUGAGGGACGAAAGCGUAGGGAGCAAACAGGAGUAGAAGCCCUAGUAGUCC